RNAcentral lists this unclassified non-coding RNA (229 nucleotides) under plant metagenome. RNAcentral's name for it is "partial contains small subunit ribosomal RNA, internal transcribed spacer 1, and 5.8S ribosomal RNA". The record is from RNAcentral.
GCUCCGUAGGUGAACCUGCGGAGGGAUCAUUACAGAGUUCAUGCCCUACCGGGUAGAUCUCCCACCCUAUGUUAUUAUUACUUUGUUGCUUUGGCGGGCCGUUAGGCUCCGGCCCGACUACCGGCCCCGGCUGGUAAGCGCCCGCCAGAGGACCCAAAACCCCGAAUAUUAGUGUCGUCUGAGUACUAUAUAAUAGUUAAAACUUUCAACAACGGAUCUCUUGGUUCUG